AGGUAGACACUGAAUUCAUAGAGCAGACAAAGAAAGCAUGGGAGGUUAGCUCUGAGUUCCAAGAAUAAAGUAAAGCCAAGUGCCUUCAUGAAGCCCCCAUAAUGUUUGUAAUAAAGCUCACCACUGGGCUUUCUGGCCUCAGUUUCUUCAUCUGCAGAAUCCAUGGGCUAGCCGUGAUUAUACUUAAGGCUAAUACUUUACCCUGAAUAUUCAGGUUCUAGGUAUAUGCUUCAUUAAAACUAUCUAGGGCCUCAGAAGUUUAGAAUUCUGAUUUCGCAAAAUUCUGAUAAAAAAUAAAAUGUGUGAACAUGAGGGCAGCAAUCUUGGUAAUAAGGAAAAGCCUGGGGUAGGGCUGGAAACCUCGUAGGCACAGAGGCCCUCCAAGAGGUCCCUUCCCAUUGAUCGGGCCGGGCUAGGGCAGUCACAGCGUGCUGGUCUGGUGGAGUUUAUGCAGCAACACAAACAAGAAACGCAGCAGCAGGGACAGAAAAUCCCCAUGAAGUCUGCCUUCUGCAACUAACUCUCGGUCCACCCCUCUCCACAUCUUGGUCUUCCCUUCCCAACCCCAUUCACAUCCUUCCAGGGGAGAACGUGCAAGAAAUUUCUCCUUUCCUGCAAGCAAAGGAAUCCAGUAGUGCCACCUUGGUCAGAAUGGCCCUUUGUUCUGCUGUUUAAUGACUAAUUAUGAUGCUAUGAGAGGCAUACACAACUCUGGCAGAGCCAGGCCCUCCUGCUCCAGCAGGGCUGAGCGGCUGGAAGUGUGUAAUCUUCGGAAAGCUGUGACUGCGACCUGGAGUUGCGUAAGAAAUAAUUACAGAAUCCAGCCAGGGCUUGCUUCUUGCCACAGGCUCCAGGCUUUUACCCCCGACAUGUGUUCUGGUGAAUGGAGUGAGAUGAGGACUGGGUUUGAGAAGAUUUUGUUGGCUCCACAUGGUUUUGCAAAUCAACCUGCUGCUCCAGUGAUGACAUGCUGCUGAGGGAAGGUUUGGUGGUUCCUGGGAAGUUGAAAGGAUCUGGGCAAGCUUUUUAUUGCUGACUGUGUGCAACUGCCGCAAGGGGUCAAAAGUGCUUGGUUUGCACAACAUCUCCCCGGCAUUCUUACACGUGUGGUUAUGGAAUCAGGGUGCAGGGAAGGGUCAUGGAGCAGAGGGAAUUGCAUGUGCUCGAUCUUUUUCACAUUGGAGCUGCUUUCUGAAACCCGGCACGGGGAAGGGUGCUCAUCCAGGCCUUAAAAGUUGGCAGCAUCCCCCAGGAACUACCCUGUGAACAAAUCCAGGCUUUCGGAAGCACGUGAUUCUGCAGAAAUGCCACAUUCUCUUCCACAUGGGCUGUGGGCUCUGAGUCCCCCUUUGCUUCCUCGGCCUAUGUACCUGCUGAAGAAGACAGUUGUGUCGUGUACAUGCAACCUAAGGAGGUAACCUUUUACCCAGCCUGAGACUUCAGAGGGUAUUCAUAUUGGGGACCAGCAGCCCGUGAUGUUUGUCCCCCAGAGAGGGGGAGAGAGCUGCUGCCUGCAGAGUGGCUGCUCCUGCUUUGCACGGCCCCUGGCUUCUGCAUCCCUCCAUCCUCCAGCUGGGCACAGAGGUUGCCAAAAGGGCCAGUAGGAGGAGAAGGCUUCAUGGAGGACGGGGGCAAGAGCGGGCCGACCAUGCUGGCUUCCUCGCCUUGUGUCUGGCUGACUGCACAGGCCUGAGGAGGUAACCAACAGCAGAAACAGCUCUGGACAAAUGAGCAAAGGAAGACUCGACUGAGUUUCCCCAGAAUGGAGAGGAGCUGAGGAAGCUCCAGGGCCCACAGCGGAAGCUGGUGGACCAUUUCACUAGGACCCUGGGAGCAAAUCAGUCUGACUUGUGUUUGGCCCCUGAAUCCCCCUGCUCAAGGCUCAGAGUCCUGGAGAAUUGAGGGCAACCCCCACAUUGCAUGCCAUGGAUGGUGGCUUCCCCAGGGGAGUCGGGGUGCUAGGACUAGAGCAUGCCUCCUACAAAUGUUGACUUCCCCAGAAAAAUACCAGCUCUCUUAAGUAAGGGUGGGUCUAUCUGUGGGGAUGAUAGGGUCACCCUUAUUAUUCAUACGUUCCCUGGGCCUGAGAACUUACCUGGAAUACACUUUGUUAAAUAGUAAUA
This 2123-nucleotide long non-coding RNA is filed under the name Homo sapiens (human). RNAcentral's name for it is "HSALNT0331623". Lineage: Eukaryota; Metazoa; Chordata; Mammalia; Primates; Hominidae. The record is from RNAcentral.